RNAcentral lists this ribosomal RNA (497 nucleotides) under uncultured bacterium. RNAcentral's name for it is "partial 16S ribosomal RNA". It matches the Rfam family "Bacterial small subunit ribosomal RNA", at positions 28 to 507 of the family's 1533-position model. The record is from RNAcentral.
GAUGAACGCUGGCGGCGUGCCUAAUACAUGCAAGUCGAGCGAACAGACGAGGAGCUUGCUCCUCUGACGUUAGCGGCGGACGGGUGAGUAACACGUGGAUAACCUAUCUAUAAGACUGGGAUAACUUCGGGAAACCGGAGCUAAUACCGGAUAAUAUAUUGAACCGCAUGGUUCAAUAGUGAAAGACGGUUUUGCUGUCACUUAUAGAUGGAUCCGCGCCGCAUUAGCUAGUUGGUAAGGUAACGGCUUACCAAGGCGACGAUGCGUAGCCGACCUGAGAGGGUGAUCGGCCACACUGGAACUGAGACACGGUCCAGACUCCUACGGGAGGCAGCAGUAGGGAAUCUUCCGCAAUGGGCGAAAGCCUGACGGAGCAACGCCGCGUGAGUGAUGAAGGUCUUCGGAUCGUAAAACUCUGUUAUUAGGGAAGAACAAAUGUGUAAGUAACUAUGCACGUCUUGACGGUACCUAAUCAGAAAGCCGCGGCUAACUACGUG